RNAcentral lists this ribosomal RNA (467 nucleotides) under uncultured bacterium. Its description in RNAcentral is "partial 16S ribosomal RNA". It matches the Rfam family "Bacterial small subunit ribosomal RNA", at positions 28 to 507 of the family's 1533-position model. The record is from RNAcentral.
GACGAACGCUGGCGGCGUGCUUAACACAUGCAAGUCGAACGGAAAGGCCCUGCUUUUGUGGGGUGCUCGAGUGGCGAACGGGUGAGUAACACGUGAGUAACCUGCCCUUGACUUUGGGAUAACUUCAGGAAACUGGGGCUAAUACCGGAUAGGAGCUCCUGCUGCAUGGUGGGGGUUGGAAAGUUUCGGCGGUUGGGGAUGGACUCGCGGCUUAUCAGCUUGUUGGUGGGGUAGCGGCUUACCAAGGCUUUGACGGGUAGCCGGCCUGAGAGGGUGACCGGCCACAUUGGGACUGAGAUACGGCCCAGACUCCACGGGAGGCAGCAGUGGGGAAUAUUGCACAAUGGGCGGAAGCCUGAUGCAGCAACGCCGCGUGCGGGAUGACGGCCUUCGGGUUGUAAACCGCUUUCGCCUGUGACGAAGCGUGAGUGACGGUAAUGGGUAAAGAAGCACCGGCUAACUACGUG